Molecule: long non-coding RNA, 493 nt
Organism: Daktulosphaira vitifoliae (grape phylloxera)
Lineage: Eukaryota; Metazoa; Arthropoda; Insecta; Hemiptera; Phylloxeridae
Exons: 4
Source: RefSeq, a predicted model, not a curated record
CCUUCUCUAUGUGGAGAAAUAAAUCUGUAUUGUAGCACAGAUUUGUUUUUUUUUUACUUUUGUAUUAAUUUGUUUAUAAAAUAAUGAAUUCUAAAUUAUUUGAUAUCUUUAAACCAAAAAAUUCUGAACCAGCAAUGACUUCUAAUCAAACAUCCAGCUUGGAUAUUGCAAAUAGUACAAAAUGAUCCAAAAAGAUCAAAAUUAGAGCCUGAUGCUCAUGCUAGUACAAAGACUCAUUUAACUCGUAUUGCUAAAAGGACAAGACAUUAAACAUAACUGUCAAAAAAACUGACACUGUUCAUACCUAUCUAAUAACUAGAAGUUGCCACUAAUAGGUAAUAUAUGGAAAGUCUAAUUGACAAAAAUUUAUUUAGUUUACAAGGCCUGACACAAUAAAAAUAAUUCAUCAUUAAAUCAAGGAAAUUUCAAUGAAACCUAUUGUUGUGACCGGGUUGGUACGGUAGACAAAAUGAAGUGAUAAUGCGUUUGAAUA